Oncorhynchus tshawytscha (Chinook salmon) is the source of this 598-nucleotide long non-coding RNA. The record is from Ensembl. Lineage: Eukaryota; Metazoa; Chordata; Actinopteri; Salmoniformes; Salmonidae.
UGACGAAAGCAGCUAGCCAGAGGGGAGCAUGGAGGAAGCGUGAGGUGGGGACAGUUUGAUGGAUGAAAAUGGCCACUCUCUCCCCCCUCUCCCCCCUCCUUCAAUGGCUGGAGAUAAGGGCAGGCCUGCAUUAUUGAAAUCCCACGUCUGUAAACCCAUCAAUAGCGGGUGACUGUGUGUGUGUAUGUGUGUGGCAUGCGUCUGGUGUGUGUUUGUGUAUGUCAUCUCCUGCCCAAGGCCCCCUCUCCUUUUUAUGUCGCAGCCAAGCUGUGUGGCUGGAAAGCCCAGGUGAGGCAGCAAGCUGUGUGGCUGGAAAGCCCAGGUGAGGCAGCAAGCUGUGUGGCUGGAAAGCCCAGGUGAGGCAGCAAGCUGUGUGGCUGGAAAGCCCAGGUGAGGCAGCAAGCUGUGUGGCUGGAAAGCCCAGGUGAGGCAGCAAGGUGAUUGCAUCUUUGUCAGAGCGCAGCGAGCAUUUCCCUGUGACAGAUGAAAGCCACUGGGGCCGUUGGAUUAUGAGUUAUGUUCUGCCUAGGAGACGAGCUGAGAGGAGGCAUUUGUUAUCAUUGCUCUGGCUCCGUGAUCCCAAACGGAAAUAUCAAAU